Molecule: ribosomal RNA, 460 nt
Filed under: uncultured bacterium
Lineage: Bacteria
Description: partial 16S ribosomal RNA
Rfam family: Bacterial small subunit ribosomal RNA
Source: RNAcentral
CCUACGGGUGGCAGCAGUGAGGAAUAUUGGUCAAUGGGCGCAAGCCUGAACCAGCCAAGUAGCGUGAGGGAUGACUGCCCUACGGGUUGUAAACCUCUUUUAUGCGGGAAUAAAGUUAUCCACGUGUGCAUUUUUGCAUGUACCUUAUGAAUAAUGACCGGCUAAUUCCGUGCCAGCAGCCGCGGUAAUACGGAGGGUCCGGGCGUUAUCCGGAUUUAUUGGGUUUAAAGGGAGCGUAGGUGGGUUGUUAAGUCAGUCGUGAAAGUUUGUGGCUCAACCAUAAAAGUGCAGUGGAAACUGGCAGCCUUGAGUACACGGAAGGUAGGCGGAAUUCGUGGUGUAGCGGUGAAAUGCUUAGAUAUCACGAAGAACCCCGAGUGCGAAGGCAGCCUACUAAAGUGCCACUGACGCUGAUGCUCGAAAGUGCGGGUAUCAAACAGGAUUAGAUACCCGAGUAGUC